Xyrichtys novacula (pearly razorfish) is the source of this 8833-nucleotide non-coding RNA. NCBI's taxonomy places the organism in Eukaryota, Metazoa, Chordata, Actinopteri, Labriformes, Labridae. The record is from the annotation of a GenBank genome assembly.
UGGUGCUGGUUUGCGUUAUUUUCCCCGGUUUCUGAAUUGUCAUUUUUCAGUUCCUCACCCUGUGUACCUGUAUUAGUGGGAGUGUGCCCUCUCCCUGCCCCCAAAUGGUCUGAAGAGGACCAUCGAAUGCAGGUCACCAUGGAUCAGAUCCUUAAUUAUUUCUCUGUGCUUUAAGCUGCUCGCUCGAUGAAACCCAAGAAUGGUGUGUGCUUCCAACAUUUUUCAGACUGUCCUCCUUGUACCAUACUUUGUCCCUUUACAAUCAUCUUUCUUUCAACAGUUACACUAGAAGUAAUCACAUGACAUUGCUGCUCUGCUUAAAGGAGCCUCUUUUAUCCUAGAAAGAUGUAAAUACAAGGAUUGUCUUCCUGACAAUAAUCCUACCCAAAUAAAACAUGUUGGACACAGUCUUUGGACCAGGUGACAUUGUGAAAACCUUUAUAGCCCUAAGUCCAGCUUAUCUGUCGAAGGUUUGACAUCCAACCUACUUAGAACCGUUUUACAUGGGAGGAGAGACUUUGGGAUGCUAAAACAAUACACUGAUUAGUAAAAAAAUACCAAGUGAGUCCAUAGGCAUUUAUACCCUUUAUAACUGUCAUUGAGCAGUGAUUUGUUAUUCAAGUGCUGAUGUAAGUGAUUGGGUGCUUUGGCUUCAUCACUGGACCUCCUCAGACAUAAUUACACAGAAUCUCUGAUGUAUACCACCAUCGUCCAAGAGCUCAUGAAUUUUUAAUGUAAAUGUUGGCUAAAGAGCACUUUGAAGAGUCAACUCAUUUCACCCUGAUAUGUAAGCGAGCACUCUGAGAGAUUUGAGAAUAUCUGUCAUUCAAGUAUAGAGCGUGGAGUACACUGACAUUUAAUCCAGAGAUUUGGAUUUUCAGUUUUUCGUGGGUUAUCAAUUUCUUAACAGAGAUGGACGAUCUGACCACUUUUGAUGCAGAAGACCUUCGAGUGACAUUGUUUUUAAUUUCAUUGAACCAAAGUGAUGGACAUGCCCUAAACAUCAUCUUCUUAUGCCUCCUGUGGCCACGCUUUGCACACUGACUUUUACCUAAUAAGGUCAUGGUGCUGUUGCAGACCUGUCAAGCAUCCUAAAAAAGAUGUGGUAUUUUCAGCUAAAGACACUAAUGAUCUAUGAUUAAUAAUUUGUUUGGGUAGUUUAGAAUAUAAUAAGUUUUUUAAGUUGCUAGAUUUUUUCUGUCUUACACAGACGCUGAAGUCAGUCGAGCAGUGAAACAAAAGUAAAAUGGUAUUUUUUUGACAUCUAGGGCUCAUUAAUGUGGAUUCAGUUCUGCUGAGGUCCUCCUCACAUACUUUUAGGUUUUUAAUACCUUAGUCUCUUGAAGCCAUGACCAUUAUCAGGCCAGUAAAGAGCACUCUUUGAAAAUUCUGUCAAGUGUAUGAAUGAAGUUUUAUUAUUGACUUGCCAUCAUGGAGAGCAGUAAGCAGCACUAACCCUCAGGGGGAAACCUGAUAGGGCCGUUUCUACCCUGUUCAGAGUAUGCCUUGUUUGAUGGUCAGCUAAACUGCCCAAGGCCUGCCUUGGGGAACUGAGAUUUUUGAAAGCUCAGUUCUCACCACACCCAGCCUUAAAGCACGACCAGCGAUGUGAUGCCCAUGGGGAGACCCAGGCACUCUGUCUGAGAAGUCUGCAAAACUAUAGAGAUCCAACUCCAAAGAUUCUGCUAUGUUCCUCCUCAGAACAAUGACUCUUUCUUGGAUGACCCUGCCAUGGUGAGAGAUUUGUUUGUCAAAGAAAUUGGGACACAUAUCUGGAGCACUAUGAACAUUAUGCUCACAAAUGUCUUAGGAUGAAGUAGACACAGGCAGAGUGGCUUGAGCUGCCUUUGUUUCCGUCAGGCUGUGUGCCCCAAGAUGAGUCGAAUUGUCUCUUCUGGGGUGACACCCAAAGGCAACAAAAUGGCAUUAACAACCAGACUUCCAUACCCUGGACCCAGGUUUUCAACUACAUUUCUCCAAGCUUCUUGAUUCAUCUUGGUUUUCACAGGGUUUCCACCUCUUUCCAGAAACUUGUCUCUAACAUCACAUGGGUGCUUCUCACAAUCUCCCCAUCGGUCUGGGUGCUUAACGUAAUAUUUCAACUUUUCAGGAGCUACAUUUAUUUGCUUUCUUGCCGAGAUUUAAAAGCACUGAUUUAACAAUCAAGAAACAACAGCAACAGCUGGUUGGUUUUUCUUGGUAGAUAGAUAGAAGACAGUGGAAACAAGCUAACCUGGCUUUGUCCAAAGGUAGCAAAAACCUGGAGCUUGUAGAAAAUUACACUGAAUAUUUCUGAUGAGUUUUAUCCAUCGGUCUACAAUAAUUGAGGAUUUGAAAGACUGCUUUUGUUUUAAAAACAGUUAUAUUGGGGACCAUUUAUUGGCCCAGAUUGGUGACUUGCUUAUUUAGUGGGCUUUAAAGAAGUAGUAGUAGAAGGUGGACUAUGUUCUCUUUGGACCCAGUAAGGCUAGCUGCUAACUUAUUUCCUGUCUUGGGACCCCCUCGAAAAUGAGAUGCUGCAUCUCAAGGGGUUAUCCUAAAUAAAUUGAAUUGAAUUGAAUUAAAUUGUCUCUAAGCUGAGCUAUCUGGAUACUGUCUUUAAUAUAACAGGGCCACAUGCAAACAGACAGAGAGAUGACGCCAAUCCUUUUAUCUAUUUCACUGCAAGAAAGCAACUGCAACUGUUGUUUUUUUUUUUUUUUAAUGUUCAAUUGUUUCUUUACAGUGAAAACUUCAUUUCUCCAACCAUUACUUAUGGUUAGUUGCCACCUACCUGCCGUCUGCCACUGACCCUCAGAACCCACACCACUGCCUCUGCAGGCAUCAGCACAGCAGAAGCAUUCAGCCAAUCAGCUCCCCUGAUGCCUUACCGAUCUACAUCCAGGUCAAGGAUUUCACAGAUGGGGUCAAAGAUCCCGUUGCUAUGGAGACAGAGCUGGGACAGGAUGGUGGCCGUCUUGUGAUGCAGUUGGUUGGGGGCCUGACGUCCAAGGGAAGCUGCGUUAAGGGUUAAACAAUGACUGAAGCACAAUCGUAAAAGAUAACACCACACAGUGUUUUUAAUGAAUCCAUCAGAUCUAACAUGUGUUUUCACUUUCUAUUAUCUGCAGAAGAGAAUAACUUGGAGUCAAAUAUAUAAAGCGGCCCUUUUUUUCAGCCUGUGGCCCUGUGGACAUUUGCUGAGGUGACUGUUGGGUUUAUUGCCUAAAACACUCAAUAGAGACAUCAGACGUGGGUUUGUGUUCUACACUGCAAAUUGUAUCAGUGUGCAGAAGCUAAUGUAAUGUUGGGCUGUGGGCCUGGACACUGGUCAUCAUCCUCCUGUAGACUUGAUUCCACUGUCCGCAGGUGUUCCCCGCUCCUCUUUGAUUGGAUGGAGACUCGAGUCAUCUCGUGGUAGCUCAGGCCUAAAUCAGUCUCCUAUCGAAACGUGUCAUCUAAAGCUGAUAGACACUACAGCCUUCAGCCAGCCCACUGGGGCUGUAUUUAUUAUAUGUAUACCCUGCAGCAUAUGGUACAUCUCUCUGAUGGGGGAAAUUCUACAGCUUUUAUUGAGGAGAGAAAAUUAGAUUAGGUGAUCUUCUCGAAAGGCUUCUCCCUUGGUUUACCCAUGUACUGUGUGUGGAUGUACGGCUAGUGGCCAGCUGCAGCACUCUGUUUUAUAAGUACGGUUUUAAAAUGGCUCUGGAUAAGCACAUUUUUCUAGAAUACAUGGAUAUGAGAUAGAAUUAGGCCAUUUACUUGAUUUGAAUUCAUUUGGCCAGACAGCAUUUCUCAUUAUUUAUUCAUCUCUGGCAUUUUCUUUUGCCAAAUCUGCCAUACUUUUUAAUUUUCUGUCAGACUCGCCUUAUUUAUGAGACUGAUUAGACAUUUUCAAGGGGAUAAAGACUGUAAGAGAGUGGGAUUAGAGGUUAUUAUACUCAUGCUGACUGGAAAGGGUUGUGUUAUCUAUGGCCUGCAGGUGGCAGCAUAAUGAACCUCCAAGUUAAGGAGGCCUCAUAUUCAAAGCAGCUGAGUUCUUGAUUGACAUUUGCUGUGUCAUGAAGAGGGGUCACAGACUUCAAACCUCACACGGUAAAGACAGGUCUCUUUGUUUUAUUCACAGAAGCUGAGGGUUGGUUUAUAUGUAAUGGCAAAAUUACGCAUGAUUUCCUGCAGCUGGAUUAAACUGGGCCCUCUCAACACCCUGCAUGCACGUAGAAAGUGAAUCAGCAUGGACAUCACGCGGGAAAACGGGCACACUAUAGAGACCGUCACGUGAGUUUUGUGCAGUUGUGUUUAAUCACUGAAAAGCCUCUGAAUGCUACACUCACCCCUGAUAUGUGUUCACUAUCCCUUCCUGCACUUAAAACUAAAAUCCCCCCUCGCUUUCCGCUUUGCACGCGCCUCUUUCUCCUCAGCAGCAGCACCACAGCCACCGGGUCGCCAUGGAAACCACUGGGAGACAUACGUCGAGGGGUGAAGAGAGAAAGGGGGACAACGCGGGACACGAAAAGAGAAAGAGGAGGCAUGAAAGGUUAGGGUGUUGCCCCCCUCCACCCUCCCUUCCUCCCCCCCAAAUACACCUCCUACACCCACCCCACCCUACCUCACCUCUAACCCCUCCACCCUUCGGUUUAAUGCCGAGCCCCCCAAGCCCAGAUCAACCGCCCCACACACUGGCCCCUCUUACAUGCACCUCUGCCCGCCCCCCGAACCCUCUCCCCCAUCUUUUGCUCUCCAUCCCUCUCUUGUCCAGACAGGCUGCUCGCAUGGCGAGGAUGGAGACGUUCACCGAUGGAAGCACUGGUAAAUUUCACACCCACAAAAACACGCACAUAAAAAAGUAGAGGCAGAUUUCAGAGACUGCGCAAAGGUGCCUUAGACUGAACUUCUUUUUUCUCUAUGUGUCUGUUCACCUUCCUCUCCUCAGCUGUACCACACACACACCCCUUUUCCUUCUUAAAAUCCCAGUCUUUUCAUUCUGUGUUAAUUCAAACCGCGAGAGAUUUGAGUCCCGACAUUCCUCCUGGCAGCGUCCUGGGAGAGGGCAGAGAGGAGAGAGGGGCUGGAGAAAUAUCGGUCCUAAUGAUUUUUUGUACGGGGAUGGUCUUUUUCUGUUUUAUUGAUUAGGUAGAAAUUAAUUCACGGGGGCAACCCUCGUGUUCUGACUCUCUCUCUCUCCCCCUACCUUACUCUCUCUCUCUCUCUUUCCCCCUCCUGUCCUCCCUUGCUCCUUUGCUCUGUGGACGAAUAGCGUUGUGUCUUCUUGCUUGCUCUGCAUGUUGUAUUGUCGCGGGAAUAUUUGAUUCGGAAUAUGCUCAGCGCUUCAUGCAUAUGCGGAAGUCCCUCUGCAGGCAUACACUUGCUCUGUUUUCCCUUUAUCGACAGCAAAUAGCGUGAACGUUAACUGCAUUAUAACGGCGAGAGGGAUGAAUGUGUUGUUGUGAUGUUACUGAAUGCUCUGUGCGUAUUUUACGCGUAACGCCACCCACAUUUGAAUGCAUGCAGAUCGAGCAGCAGGAGGUUAAGCUCAGAAAUGAUGAGGAAAUAACGUCUUAAAAUCUAUUUUCAUUAUCUGGUAUCGUGACUCAGUGAUUUUCCAUCAUCUUCUUCUCCUUCUUUGUUGUUUGAUUCCAAACUGCAAAAUGCUUCGGCUGGUUUGAGAGCUCAUUACGCACAGGUGGGCGUGCACGAUGGUCGCCUUCUUAAUAGGUAGCCCGUGUCCUAAUCUGUGCAUAAUGUCGCCUAUAACCCAGCAGUUUACGACCACAUUUACCUGCUGUUUGAUGGUUUUAAUCAGCCCAGUCGAUAUUUGCUUCGUCGGUGUCCCGAUGCCCGCAGAUAGCAACAAUAACACCUCAGCACGGUGAGGGCUGAUCCGCCGCCGAAGGGAAAUCGAUGGGCAGACUGAGUUAAUUAUGAGAAAAUCAAUUAAAAGGAGGGGAUUGUGGGCUUUAUAAGGCCGAGCCGGGAGCUCACAUCGGCAGAGGAGAGGAGGAGAGGAGGGGAGCGGGACACUGGAACACUCUCCGUCUGGGGCUCUCCUUCCUCCUCUAUAGCAGUCCGCUUAGCGCACGCUGUCUGCUGGCUGCUGCCUCUGCACGGUGCCAGGUCAUGAUUCAAAGCAGCUUUACUCCAAACCAUGCAAAGACACUCUUGUAUCACCAAUUUACCCCUCUGAACGUCACGCAGACAUCUCUUUAUUUUUCCUUUUUUUUUUACAGUGUGAUGAUUUGAUCUGCUCAGUCUCACUGUAUGGACACACACACACACACACACACACACACACACACACACACACACACACACACACACACACACACACACACACACACACACACACACAUCUAGGGAGUGGGGUCAUCCUGGAUUAUCAUUGCCGUUGUUUAGAUCAGAUGUCCCUUCAUAACAUAUUUAUCCUUUUGAAAUUUCACGCCAUAUGAAAUCUACCCAUCGUGACUCAUUAGUUCUCAUUGUAUUUCCUUCAUUUGCAUCUUCACUUGCACUCUCACACUGUCCCAAACCAAAUGUAUCGAUGAUCAGUUUCUUAUAAUAGCACUGCUGCAGGGUCAGGGUGUCCAGUGGUUGCCUCUCUGAUUUUGGAUGGUGUCUAGAAACCCGUUCAGAUGAAAGAAACUGCCUUUUAUCAUUUAGACUGAUUUUCAGCACCAUUAAAGAUCGUCUGCAAGUUCGUAGGCAAAUGGAAACUGUACGUGUCGUUGUGGAUAUACGCUCCCCCAGUCCAGUCAUAAAGUCAAUCAGACCAGAGCCUUUUUAUUGAAAUAUAUAUCUCUAUAAGAUUCAUGUGUGAACAUUUUAAGAUUCUCAUGAUAUGGUGAGACGAGUGUGAUCCACUCUGCACAUUAACUUGACCCACGUUGAUGGUCUUUGUUAAUAGAGAAUCCCUGGAGAAGGAUUGUGUGUUCAUUUGAAGUUGUGUUUUUUGCACAUUGCACAAUCUCUCAUUAAGCAAAGAGCAUCUUUGUUCAAACUUCUCCCUCUUCUUUUGCAUAUAUUCUCAUUUGUUGCGCAUAACAAUGAAGGCGUCCACUCCACUCGGGACAGGACACUUUAUCUUACCUAACAAACGUGGUGAUGUUUCAAGUAAAUACAGUGCACUUUUUCACGUGGGUUAUUAUUCUUACAGUGAAAGGGUGACAAUGCCAGAUGAGCUGCUCUGCUUUUGUGACUCGUGUUCUGAACUUGGGUGGAUUUUUUCAUUGUAACAGGCUGAGUUUUGUCCACUCGUGACGGUGAAUCUCUCCUUUUUUUCCUAUCAUAUACACUUCCAUAUUUAGAUUCAGCAUAAUUUUACCAUUAGCGUGAAAAAAACUGUGAGUGUAAGCAAGAGAGAGGAAAGUGUGUGUGUGUGUGUGUGUGUUCGUUUCGGUGUGUGUUGUACUUGUCUCCUUGUGAUCUGCGCAAUUAUUCAGUUAAAGUUCCUAUUUUCUUGUUUGCAAACGAUUCAAAAUAUUGUUUAAAAUUCAAUCAAAUAGCGGAAUAACGAAAUGAGUUUGAUCUGAAUGUCGCUUUAGUUUUAUAAAGUACUACAAACUCUGCUGCUUUUGCAUAACAAGUUAAAAUCUGCAAAUCCUUCCGUUGUUAACUCUUGGAUAAAGACAUUUUGUGCAGGAUUAAAAUGUCUAUUUUUAAAGAUAAUCUGCAUUUUACAGCCAGGUUGAUAUGAAUGUUUUUAGAUUAUGCAAAUAUUCAUGCAGAUUUAUCAUAUGCAUACAGGCUGUCAUGCAUGGGCCUCUCCGUGUUGCGAGUGUUGCAGCUUCUCCUGCAGACCCUCUCCAGUUUAAAUGUAUUUUUGGUGAAUUUAUGCAUAUUAUUCAAAUAUAAAAAUCGAUUGCAUAUUAUUCAAUUUCUUAUCGUAUCUCAAUCGAAGUUCGGUUCAGUCAACAGCUGACAUUUUAAGAGGUAAUCCAGCCCUUCCAUUGGAUAAAAACGUGAUUGAAAUCCUUUGCCGAAAGUUCCAGAAUAUUUAAAACUAGAAUUCUCAUUUUUUAAAGAGCUAUAGGCUACUUUUAUCAAAUACCAUCAUAGACACGUUCAUCUUUAUGGUGCAAGAAUUUCUUGAAUUUUCCUGAUCCUGAUAUUAUUUUAUGGAGUGAUCAUGUCGAAUUUCUCCUCCGUGUAAAUGCAAAUCAUGUUGUAAAUAGACACAGUCUGAGUUACAGUUUAUUAACUUUAGAGAGGAGCAGAGGUGGUAUGGAUGCUCCAACAGACAUCUUAGAAACGUUUUAUUAAAGUCUGGAUAAUUAUAAAAUAUGAAACUCCACACAGAGGCUUUAGUUUGAAUUUUGGAGCUCAGAUUAAAUUAUUAACUCCUAAUAUGUCCCGCAGAAAAUCGACAGGAUGUGCGUAAUUCCUGCAGCUCCUCAAGUUUAUUCUAUUAGGAGAAAGUCCAAUAAGAUAAAAUGCCCCUAAUCAAGCCACGUCUGCAUUUUUCGCGUUAAACUAAAACACGAAAUCUAAAUAUUUCUGAAAUUGCGUUCUGAUCAUUUCGCAUGUAUGAGUUCAGGGAGGUGAUCAGUCAUAAUUCUCGGUCAGUCUAAUCCCAGAAGGGUUGAGAAAAAACGGUGUAAACGAAAGGUAGCUGCUAGAAGAGCUGCUCUCGUGUUUUUUUGCAGAACAAGCACCCUGACUGUCCGUCCUGCACCUUAUCGACUGGAAACAGACCCCAUAACUGAUACACUCAAUUUUAUGGUUUAUGUUAAAGUCUAUGCAGCCUGUCCGAGGUCUCAUUUCAUAAAGCCUUUAUUGGCUCAGCUCUGUGUUAGAAAGCCGAUCGCUGCUGUAGGCUUUGAAGGAGCUUUUCUAUACAUUUCUGUUACUGGGCCACUUC